UCUUCCGCAAUGGACGAAAGUCUGACGGAGCAACGCCGCGUGAGUGAUGAAGGUUUUCGGAUCGUAAAGCUCUGUUGUUAGGGAAGAACAAGUGCAAGAGUAACUGCUUGCACCUUGACGGUACCUAACCAGAAAGCCACGGCUAACUACGUGCCAGCAGCCGCGGUAAUACGUAGGUGGCAAGCGUUGUCCGGAAUUAUUGGGCGUAAAGGGCUCGCAGGCGGUUUCUUAAGUCUGAUGUGAAAGCCCCCGGCUCAACCGGGGAGGGUCAUUGGAAACUGGGAAACUUGAGUGCAGAAGAGGAGAGUGGAAUUCCACGUGUAGCGGUGAAAUGCGUAGAGAUGUGGAGGAACACCAGUGGCGAAGGCGACUCUCUGGUCUGUAACUGACGCUGAGGAGCGAAAGCGUGGGGAGCGAACAGGAUUAGAUACCCUGGUAGUCCACGCCGUAAACGAUGAGUGCUAAGUGUUAGGGGGUUUCCGCCCCUUAGUGCUGCAGCUAACGCAUUAAGCACUCCGCCUGGGGAGUACGGUCGCAAGACUGAAACUCAAAGGAAUUGACGGGGGCCCGCACAAGCGGUGGAGCAUGUGGUUUAAUUCGAAGCAACGCGAAGAACCUUACCAGGUCUUGACAUCCUCUGACAACCCUAGAGAUAGGGCUUUCCCUUCGGGGACAGAGUGACAGGUGGUGCAUGGUUGUCGUCAGCUCGUGUCGUGAGAUGUUGGGUUAAGUCCCGCAACGAGCGCAACCCUUGAUCUUAGUUGCCAGCAUUCAGUUGGGCA
RNAcentral lists this ribosomal RNA (782 nucleotides) under Bacillus altitudinis. Its description in RNAcentral is "bacterial SSU rRNA". It matches the Rfam family "Bacterial small subunit ribosomal RNA", at positions 362 to 1137 of the family's 1533-position model. The record is from RNAcentral. Lineage: Bacteria; Bacillati; Bacillota; Bacilli; Caryophanales; Bacillaceae.